GCUGGCGGUAGGCUUAACACAUGCAAGUCGUGCGAGAAAAUAUCUUCGGAUACGAGUAAAGCGGCGGACGGGUGAGUAACGCGUAGGAAUCUACCUAGUAGAAGGGGAUAGCCCGAGGAAACUCGGAUUAAUACCGUAUACCUCCUUAGGGAGAAAGAGGGCCUCUCUUGAUGCUCUCGCUAUUAGAUGAGCCUGCGUAAGAUUAGCUUGUUGGUGAGGUAAUGGCUCACCAAGGCUACGAUCUUUAGCUGGUCUGAGAGGACGAUCAGCCACAUUGGGACUGAGACACGGCCCAGACUCCUACGGGAGGCAGCAGUGGGGAAUAUUGGACAAUGGGCGCAAGCCUGAUCCAGCCAUACCGCGUGUGUGAAGAAGGCCCUAGGGUUGUAAAGCACUUUAAGCAGGGAGAAAAAGCUAUAAGCUAAUACCUUAUAGCCCUGAUGUUACCUGCAGAAUAAGCACCGGCUAAUUCCGUGCCAGCAGCCGCGGUAAUACGGAAGGUGCAAGCGUUAAUCGGAAUUACUGGGCGUAAAGCGCGCGUAGGUGGUUUGUUAAGUUGGAUGUGAAAGCCCUGGGCUCAACCUAGGAACUGCAUCCAAAACUAACUCACUUGAGUACGAUAGAGGGAGGUAGAAUUCAUAGUGUAGCGGUGGAAUGCGUAGAUAUUAUGAAGAAUACCAGUGGCGAAGGCGGCCUCCUGGAUCUGUACUGACACUGAGGUGCGAAAGCGUGGGUAGCGAACAGGAUUAGAUACCCUGGUAGUCCACGCCGUAAACGAUGACAACUAGCUGUUGGGAGACAAAGUCUUUCAGUGGCGCAGCUAACGUUUUAAGUUGUCCGCCUGGG
RNAcentral lists this ribosomal RNA (846 nucleotides) under uncultured Gammaproteobacteria bacterium. RNAcentral's name for it is "bacterial SSU rRNA". It matches the Rfam family "Bacterial small subunit ribosomal RNA", at positions 35 to 877 of the family's 1533-position model. The record is from RNAcentral. Lineage: Bacteria; Pseudomonadati; Pseudomonadota; Gammaproteobacteria.